Molecule: long non-coding RNA, 1652 nt
Filed under: Triticum aestivum (bread wheat)
Lineage: Eukaryota; Viridiplantae; Streptophyta; Magnoliopsida; Poales; Poaceae
Description: long non-coding RNA (TAES_LNC014940)
Source: RNAcentral
UUUCAGAGAAAAUAUAAAGCAUGGAAGGCUUUAAGUUGUACUAUUGAGACCAUACCACCAUAUCUUGAUUUAGUUUCUUUGGAAAUCUAAAGGUCUAAGAGGAUGGUACAUGUGAGAAGCUGUGAAUCCACAACAAAAAUCUAAACUAACUUCCAAACAAACAUUUCAAGUUUGGAAGCCACAAAGAAGCAGCCCAAAUUUCUCGUUGUAGUGCAGGUUCAAGAAAAUGGGCUGAAUGACCAUCAUAGCAACAUGUAGAAGCAGCAAAAAUAUAGGCUUGGUGUGUAACUGAUCAUGAAAGAUAGCUUGGUCAGUUUCUCCAUUGUUGGCUUAUAUUGAGCAAGAACAUCAGCCUGCAGAGAAGAAAAAUGGAGGACUGCUUUAUUCUGCGGUACAUCCACAAUAGUAUAGCAAAUAAAGUAGUUAAAUGUGCGCUAAGAUGUAAGACCUUUUAGAUCACUAUUUUAGUGAUCUAAAAGGUCUUGUAUUAGUUUGAAGAGGGAGCACUUAAUAAGACUGUAGGCCAGUACAUCAAAGUAAUGCCGGCUUCCCAUUGAUUUGAUCAAACCAAUAUGACAAAGGGAAGGUGAAACUUCAGAAAACCAUAUAAAUUGACCACAAUGUCUUAAUUUAAAACUCUGAAAUGAAGUAAUAAACAUUAAGUCUGAAUGUUGUCACUAAAAAAGCAUAAAAAAGGCAGACCAGCCAGGAGUGCAUCAUAACCAGUGGUUCAUCAUGCGCAAACCAGGCAGCAGUAGCCUAAUAACUUAGACAGAAAAAAUGUAAGAAGUCAAAGCACAAGGUGGGAAAUAGGACCGAGCAUUGACAGGUAACCAAAUAAUAAAGGAAUAUCCCCAUGAAAAUCAAGAACAGUAAAUUAGCAUCCAGAAGUACAUAGAAACAAACAUUCCGCUUGGCAGAGUGUGAUCUCAGUAUGAUGUCAAUAGCUGGGACUAAGAAGGUAACCACGUAGAGUGUCACACCUAAGGGCGUUUUCUUACGUCUCUACUCUCUAGUAAUACAACUCACUAUUGAUUGAUUUAACUAAGGUAUUCUUCAGUUGGGUAUUUAUAAAGGAAAUUCACUAUGUUUUUUUACCAGCGAGUAGAGAGCAACUGAAAGACUUAUGUUUUUAAAUGCAAGAACAAACCUCACCAGGCUGCUGUGCAGACUUAUUGUCAGUGGAAGAUGCUACAGCUGAGCAAAAUUGGAUUGGGAUUUCUUCUAUGCCUGCUGCUCCCUCCUACAGCAAUUAUUUAGAACAACAAACCAAUUUACUGUGAGAUGAGAGAAGGCACACUAAAGAAGCACAUCUGUAAGUGUAUAUCUAAUAAUAUAGAUGCUACAAAUCAAUAGAACUAAAAUACUCCAGCAGUUGGGAUCAGCUAGAUCUAUGUCUACAUCACCAAAUCAGAAGUUCAGUUACCUGUGGUUCGCUUGAUAGUAGUUGCAGGUUUUCAUGCGCUGAACUCAAGAACCGACCAGCAGCGACCAAAUCUAAGCACAACCAUCCCUCACAAUUUGAAUUCUACCCCAGCAAGUACAGACACGUCCUCUGCAACCUCACACAGAUACGAAAGCGUCAUAAAGCACACCGCACUACGCCGCCACCACGACCUCCAAAACAUGUAUAACGACUGAAAUAAGCGGAC